CGCCGGCUCGGACGCGGCCGGCUACCGAGCCCUUUGUGAGGGCUGUGAGCUGCGCCUGACGGUGGCACCAUGAGCAGCUCAGGUGGGGCGCCCGGGGCGUCCGCCAGCUCUGCGCCGCCCGCGCAGGAAGAGGGCAUGACGUGGUGGUACCGCUGGCUGUGUCGCCUGUCUGGGGUGCUGGGGGCAGUCUCUUGCGCGAUCUCUGGCCUCUUCAACUGCAUCACCAUCCACCCUCUGAACAUCGCGGCCGGCGUGUGGAUGAUCAUGAAUGCCUUCAUCUUGUUGCUGUGUGAGGCGCCCUUCUGCUGCCAGUUCAUCGAGUUUGCAAACACAGUGGCGGAGAAGGUGGACCGGCUGCGCUCCUGGCAGAAGGCUGUCUUCUACUGCGGGUGAGGGGUUGCUGGGCAGGGUCCCGUGACACAGUUCCCCAAAACCCCACUGACAAAAUAGGACCCAAAAGUCAGGUGAGGGUGGGCAGUGUAUUCGGUUCCUCUCUGUGGAAGUGUAAACUGGGAUUGCCUUUGUGCACAGUGAUUUGCUCAUAGCUGCCAAAACGUGCCCCAGUGGUUCUGCGCCCAGGAACUCAGCUGUCGCUGUGCCGUAGUCACUGGAAGGUUCACAGGUAUAUGAGCAUGUGUGGCAGCAUUCCGUGCAGUGGAGAGAAAUGGGAAGCGUCUGGAAUUUUGGUCCGUCCACUGGGAGUUGUUAACCAGAUGAUAGUAGGUCUGUAGGACAUGUUUCUCUGCAGCCUUUCCAAAGAGUGGGUUCAUCUAGAUGUCCUGACGUGAAGGGGGA
Molecule: small RNA, 795 nt
Filed under: Pan troglodytes (chimpanzee)
Lineage: Eukaryota; Metazoa; Chordata; Mammalia; Primates; Hominidae
Description: processed transcript
Source: RNAcentral